AAUAAUGGCACAGGUAUAGGCGAAAGCAUCCCCUUAUGUGAUAACUGACGUUGAGGGACGAAGGCUUUGUGUAGCGAACAGGAUUAGAUACCCCAGUAGUCAAAGCAGAAAAUGAUGAAUGUCAUAGAUUAGAUAUAUAAGUUUAUUCUAUAAAUGAAAGUGUAAGCAUUCCACCUCAAGAGUAAUUUGGCAACAUUGGAACUGAAAUCAUUAGACCGUUUCUGAAACCAGUAGUGAAGUAUGUUGUUUAAUUUGAUGANCCGCAAAAAACCUUACCACAAUUUGAANAUUUAUAUCUUUUAUUGUUUUUUUUUAUUUUUCUUCUUAUGACUUUUAUCCAUGAUUUUCUACUCAGUGAAGAAAAGGGAAGAAUNCAAGAAAUAAGAAGAAAAAUAAAAAAAAAAAUAAUAAGAUAUAUUUACAAGCGNUGCACGGCUGUCUUCAGUUAA
RNAcentral lists this ribosomal RNA (449 nucleotides) under Bryoria implexa. RNAcentral describes it as "partial small subunit ribosomal RNA". It matches the Rfam family "Bacterial small subunit ribosomal RNA", at positions 696 to 1062 of the family's 1533-position model. The record is from RNAcentral. Lineage: Eukaryota; Fungi; Ascomycota; Lecanoromycetes; Lecanorales; Parmeliaceae.